RNAcentral lists this ribosomal RNA (379 nucleotides) under uncultured bacterium. Its description in RNAcentral is "bacterial SSU rRNA". It matches the Rfam family "Bacterial small subunit ribosomal RNA", at positions 790 to 1167 of the family's 1533-position model. The record is from RNAcentral.
GUAGUCCACGCUGUAAACGAUGGGUACUAGGUUUGGCGGGUCUUGACCCCUGCCGAACCGCAGCUAACGCAAUAAGUACCCCGCCUGGGAAGUACGGUCGCAAGACUAAAACUCAAAGGAAUUGACGGGGGCCCGCACAAGCGGUGGAUCAUGUGGUUUAAUUCGAAGCAACGCGAAGAACCUUACCUGGAUUUGACAUCUCCGGACAACCCAAGAGAUUGGGCUUUCGUAGCAAUACGACCGGAAGACAGGUGCUGCAUGGCUGUCGUCAGCUCGUGUGGUGACAUGUUGGGUUAAGUCCCGCAACGAGCGCAACCCUUGUCCUUAGUUGCCAGCAUUCAGUUGGGCUCUCUAAGGAGACUGCCGUGGUGAACACGGA